CAGCCGCCACGGUAAUACAGAGGGUGCGAGCGUUAAUCGGAUUUACUGGGCGUAAAGCGUGCGUAGGCGGCUUCUUAAGUCGGAUGUGAAAUCCCUGAGCUUAACUUAGGAAUUGCAUUCGAUACUGGGAAGCUAGAGUAUGGGAGAGGAUGGUAGAAUUCCAGGUGUAGCGGUGAAAUGCGUAGAGAUCUGGAGGAAUACCGAUGGCGAAGGCAGCCAUCUGGCCUAAUACUGACGCUGAGGUACGAAAGCAUGGGGAGCAAACAGGAUUAGAUACCCCGGUAGUCCCUGUCUCUUAUAC
Molecule: ribosomal RNA, 301 nt
Filed under: uncultured bacterium
Lineage: Bacteria
Description: partial 16S ribosomal RNA
Rfam family: Bacterial small subunit ribosomal RNA
Source: RNAcentral